UACGUAGGUGGCAAGCGUUGUCCGGAUUUACUGGGCGUAAAGAGCGCGCAGGCGGUCGUGCAAGUCGCGUGUGAAAGCCCCCGGCUCAACUGGGGAGGGUCACGCGAUACUGCUCGACUCGAAGGCAGGAGAGGGAAGUGGAAUUCCCGGUGUAGUGGUGAAAUGCGUAGAUAUCGGGAGGAACACCAGUGGCGAAGGCGGCUUCCUGGUCUGCGACUGACGCUGUGGCGCGAAAGCUAGGGGAGCAAACGGG
Molecule: ribosomal RNA, 253 nt
Filed under: uncultured bacterium
Lineage: Bacteria
Description: partial 16S ribosomal RNA
Rfam family: Bacterial small subunit ribosomal RNA
Source: RNAcentral